GUUGCCAAACUAUAUAUUCUGUUUUAAAAUUGUUCUACGCUAAUUAGUUUCCCUUAUUCAGCUUUCCCAAGACGGGUCCAUGGUAGAGUUUGGGGGAAAGACCCAAAGAGGCCUGCCUGGAGCAGCAGGGAGAGAGUUUUGCUCCACCCUCUGGGCUGUGGUUUGGAGGCCUCUUUGAUCUGGCAGAGGCAGCAGAAGACGGGAAGUUGCAAGCAUCAGGACCCUCGUGCUGGCAGGUCCUUGGGCACCCCACGAAGGGAGAGCGUGACAUGGUCCUCAUUUUCCUGGCAGCCCUGGUGGAACUGGCAGACUUUGGUCAUGCCCAAAAGGACUCUGUGCUCCAGUUCCCAGCAGAAAUGACCAUCCAGGUGGGACACAACGCGACUCUGCACUGCAACUUCUCCACCAGUGAUCCCAAUCCAUACAUGUUUUGGUACCAGCAGUGCCAGACUCAGUCCCCUCAGAUGCUGCUGCGGGUGGACAAAUGGAAACCUCAAGUGAAUUCAGAGAGGUUCUCCUCUACACUGUCUGUGGAGACCUCCCAGGUGUUUCUGCAUGUGCGGGAUGCCGAGCUCCAGGACGGCACUGCCUAUUUCUGUGCACUGAGCCCACAGCAGUGCCCACAGGGAAUCACCAGUGCUGGAGGGAGCCCCUAUGUUCCUGAGUCCAUGACAGUUUCUCUGUCCAACAGCUGGUAA
Grus americana (Whooping crane) is the source of this 698-nucleotide non-coding RNA. NCBI's taxonomy places the organism in Eukaryota, Metazoa, Chordata, Aves, Gruiformes, Gruidae. The record is from the annotation of a RefSeq genome assembly.